GCGAGACUGCCAGUGAUAAAACUGGGAGGAAGGUGGGGAUGACGUCAAAUCAUCAUGCCCCUUAUGACCUGGGCUACAAACGUGAUACAAUGGCUGGAACAAAGGGAUGCGAAGCAGUGAUGUGGAGCGAAACCCAUAAAACCGAUCGUAGUCCGGAUCGCAGUCUGCAACUCGACUGCGUGAAGUCGGAAUCGCUAGUAAUCGUGAAUCAGAAUGUCACGGUGAAUACGUUCCCGGGCCUU
Molecule: ribosomal RNA, 242 nt
Filed under: uncultured Pseudomonas sp.
Lineage: Bacteria; Pseudomonadati; Pseudomonadota; Gammaproteobacteria; Pseudomonadales; Pseudomonadaceae
Description: partial 16S ribosomal RNA
Rfam family: Bacterial small subunit ribosomal RNA
Source: RNAcentral